CAUUGCGCGUGCACUCAUUGCGCGUGCACUCAUUGCGCGUGCACCCAUUUACGUCCCGGGCAGCAGUACUUCAGUCAGUCGCCAGGCAGCAACAGCUAGUGGACACGUUCACCAUGGCAGAGUUAGGGUCAACAUCGUCUAUCGGUCGCAAAAGAAAAACUGUAAUGGAGUUAAUUAAGAAGAAGAAGAAAGGGGACACUAGGAGAAGUCAAACCAGAGUCAAUAUCGGAGUUGCUUUUCAACGAUGGCGACUAGUGAUGGAACACAACGAGCUGAAGUCUGACGCCAUGGUCGCCCUUUUUCUCUUGGACAGUUACGAGAGAGAUUUAUCAGGUCCCACACAGGCUGUGAAACCUGGAGUGCCGAGACCCCCCACCCCCCCCACCGUCUCCACCAGUUUGUCGGAGGAGCUUUCUGGAGAGAGAGGCGUCUGCAGGCAGUGGCAGGUACUUCCGGCCUCUGAUGCCACCACUUACCGUGUCUGCAAAGAGCUAGUUGAUGUCCAGCCUUACAAACUGUUUGCCAGUUCCCAAAAACAAUAAAAGGGUUGGAUAAAAAAAAACUUGAA
Trematomus bernacchii (emerald rockcod) is the source of this 568-nucleotide long non-coding RNA. RefSeq lists it as uncharacterized. The record is from RefSeq and is a predicted model, not a curated record. NCBI's taxonomy places the organism in Eukaryota, Metazoa, Chordata, Actinopteri, Perciformes, Nototheniidae. The transcript is spliced from 2 exons.